This 207-nucleotide ribosomal RNA is filed under the name uncultured bacterium. RNAcentral describes it as "partial 16S ribosomal RNA". It matches the Rfam family "Bacterial small subunit ribosomal RNA", at positions 568 to 774 of the family's 1533-position model. The record is from RNAcentral.
CGCGUAGGUGGUCUUGUAUGUCUACCGUGAAAGCACACGGCUCAACCGUGUUACGUCGGUAGAAACUGCAGGACUUGAGGCUGGGAGGGGCUGGUGGAAUUCCCCGUGUAGCGGUGAAAUGCGUAGAGAUGGGGGAGAACACUCGUGGCGAAGGCGGCCAGCUAGACCAGUUCUGACACUGAGGCGCGACAGCGUGGGGAGCAAACA